CCUACGGGUGGCUGCAGUGGGGAAUAUUGCACAAUGGGGGAAACCCUGAUGCAGCAACGCCGCGUGAGUGAAGACGUCUUUCUGUAUUUUAAGCUCUAUCAGCAUGGAAGAAAAUACCAGUACCUGACUAAUCCUCCCCGGCUAACUACGUGCCGGCCGCCGCGGUCCUACGUAGGGGGCAAGCGUUAUCCGGAUUUACUGGGUGUAAAGGGAGCGUAGACGGCUGCGCAAGUCAGAAGUGAAAGCCCGGGGCUCAACCGCGGGACUGCUUUUGAAACUGUAUAGCUAGAGUGCAGGAGAGGUAAGUGGAAUUCCUAGUGUAGCGGUGAAAUGCGUAGAGAUUAGGAGGAACACCGGUGGCGAAGGCGGCUUACUGGACUGUAACUGACGUUGAGGCUCGAAAGCGUGGGGAGCAAACAGGAUUAGAUACCCCAGUAGUC
RNAcentral lists this ribosomal RNA (440 nucleotides) under uncultured bacterium. Its description in RNAcentral is "partial 16S ribosomal RNA". It matches the Rfam family "Bacterial small subunit ribosomal RNA", at positions 338 to 795 of the family's 1533-position model. The record is from RNAcentral.